UCCAAGCCCCCAAUCCCCAUAAAACUCUAGCUCCCUUUCUUCAACCCUAAUUGCUAGUCAAUCACUAAUAUACACCUUGCUAUAAAAAUCAAUAUGAAAUUAAUUCACUAACCCAAAAAUCCUCUUCCACUUGCAAAUAAUUCAUUGGUUGAAUACUCCUUCAUUUAAUGUUCCUUCCUUUCUUCAUAUACCUAUCAUCUUCACAAUCCUAAUCUUUCUAUCUUAAUUUCUCACAACCGUAUUUUCUUCUCCUUCUUCUUCCUCAUUAAUUUCUCAAAGACAUGCAAAUAUUUCAUGUGUCCAAACUCUAAUCUUUCUCCCUAACAUCUCACAAUUGUAUCUUCUUCUCCUUCUCCCUUAUUAAUUGCUCAAAAGACAUGCAAAUAUUCCAUGUGUCCAACAUGCAAAUAUUCCAUGUUUCUCUAUAAAUACCAACAAUCAUCAUUUAUCUUGCCAAAAAAAUGGCUCUCUCAGGUGAACAUACAUACUAGCAUUUUUUUUUAACUACAUAUCUUGCUUUUUUAUUAUUAGUCUUGCUCAUGUUUUUUGGUCUUACCAUUUGUAUGUAUAGGAAUUUGUAUGAUUGUGAUAACUUUGCAGUGGUUUCUCCAUGACAUUAUAAAAGUACUAUCUGGAUUGUAAGUGACUUCUUUUUAUCAGUUUUCAUGUACUAUAGUUGUCAAUAUAAUUGUUGUUUUCUGUUCAUUUAAAUUUAGAAGACUCGAAAAAAAGUUCUUUUAAAGCUUCAUAUUUAUAUAUUUUAUCACAAAUUUGCUUACUAGAUUGUGAGGUUUGUUGUUAAUCUCAUUGUAAGUGUCACUCUUGGAUUGUCAGCUCUUAAUGUUAUUGGAGACAAGAAAUUGAAGCUCAAAUUUGGAGGUGAGAGUCUUCUCAUAUUAAUCUUAUUUCAAUUUAUUGUUCUUUUCUUUGUUAAUUAGGAAAUUAUGGAUCCUUAUUAGGAAACUUUUUCUUAUUUAGGUGUGGCAUUAGGAGACAUUUGGAUCUCACAGAAGAUUUUAUGGUGCGUAACAUAAAUUGUUUUAUGUUUUGUUUUUUUUUUUAUUAUUAUUAUUAUUUUGAAGAUUGCAAUGAUUAUUAAUAGUAUUUUUGCACUUAUGCAUCAAACUCACAUAUACUACCAUAUUUUUCUUAGAGGAAGAUGGAAUUGGAAAUAAACAUGAAUAAUGAAGCAUCCUUUGUGGACUCCACAGAAUUGUUGUUAUUCAUGUGUUAGAUAAUUUUGUUAUUCAUCUCUCUCUCAUGCAUUCUUACUAUUUGAUUAAAGGUAUAGUUUCUAUAGUUAGUAUCAAUUUUAAUUAAUUGAUUUAACUUCUAAUGCAAAUUAGAUUAAUAAUAUUUUAAGAUAAUUAUAUUUUAUAUUGGGCAUAUGUAUGGACUGCAGCAGGAUGGACGUGUACUGCUAUAUAACUAAAUGAAAAUAGACUUUUUUUUAGUUGAAAAUAGACUAUGUUGUCUCCAUAUUUUUCGUGUUAUUUUGAGCAAUUUUGGAUGUGUCACAGAGGUAAAUCUAAAGGUGUCGGAAAUUGUUGACUAAAAAUGAAGCAUGCAUGGAUCAUUGUAACUGAUAUUGAGAUACUAACUGUGUUUGCUGCAUUUUGAUUUUACUGACAUUACAAAUAAUUCUCAAUAAGAUGCAGAAUCUGAGUUUCUUACUCCAAAAAGUUGCUUGCGAACUCUAUUGAUACUGUUGAGAAGGCUCUUGCAUAAGGAUUUGUGAAACUUUCUCACAUUGAUGUCUAUGAGGUGAAGUAAAAAUUAGAAAAUUCUUCAAGCAUAGUUGAAGUUAAAGAGGGUUUUCAUCUGACAUUAGAAGUAGUGAUUUAGAGGUGAGGUAGAAAGAAAAUUUGGAUGAAAUUGAAUAGUGAUUUCCUUAUUCUUUCGAAUUUAUUGGUUUUGGAAUUCUUGAUGAUACUUUCUUUGAUAGGAUAUAUGGCUCUAUUAUUCAAAAGCGAGUUUUGCAAAUUAAUCGACUCACUUUUUUGUCAAAAUCAUAUGUGAUCAUAGUGAUUUUGAAUCAAUUGUAGACACAUGGAAUGUAUGUGACUCGUGUUAUCAAAGAAGACAUAUUAGUGAACUUUUGUUUGAAUUGUGAAACUGGGUGAUGAUUUAUUUGGAGUGGUAGCAUAGUAAAUGAUCAUUCAAGAGCAUUUUACUUGAAUUGUGAAACCGAAUGAUGAUUUGUUUGGAAUAGUAGUGUGAUCUCUUUCAAGAGCAUGUUUGAUUUGUGAGUAUAAGAUGUGAUUUAAACUAAG
RNAcentral lists this long non-coding RNA (2273 nucleotides) under Trifolium pratense (red clover). Its description in RNAcentral is "long non-coding RNA (TPRA_LNC012400)". The record is from RNAcentral. Lineage: Eukaryota; Viridiplantae; Streptophyta; Magnoliopsida; Fabales; Fabaceae.